CAAAGGUUUUAUUUAAGCUUAAAAAUUAUAUUAAUUUAAGAUUUACAUGUAAAUUUUGAUUUUUAGAUAAUUUGUUAUACAGUAAUUAUUAUUAAAAAUUUUGUUAUUAAAGAUUUGGUUAUAAAUUUUAGUUUUGACUAAUUUUGUGCCAGCAGUUGCGGUUAUACAAUUAAAGCUAUAUAAUUAUAUUAAUUAUUAUUAAAUUUUGUUGUUAAUUGAAUUUUAGGUAAUAUUAGGUGAAAUUCUAUUAUUUAAUAAAUUUUGUUUUAUAAAUGAAUCUGAGAACUCUUAUUUGUAAACAAGGAUUAGAUACCCUUUUAUUUUAGAUGUAAAUUUUAUGAUUGAUUAGUAAUAGAUAUAUACUCGAAAUUUAAAAAUUUUGGCGGUAUUUUAGACUAGUUAGAGGAAUCUGUCCUGUAAUUGAUAUUCCACGAUUAAAAGUACUUAAAUUUGUUUGUAUAUCGUCGUUGAUUAAAAAUUUUGUGAAAAGAUAAUUUUUAAGAUUUUUAAUUUGAAGAUAAUUCAGAUCAAGAUGCAGCUUAUUUAAGAUUGUGAUGGAUUACGUUAAUAUAAUUUUAAAAAAUUUAUAAAAAUAAAUUUAUAUUAGGAUUUAAAAGUAAUUUAAAUUUUUUAAUUUAAGUGAUUAAUAGCUCUUGAAUAUGUACAUAUUGCCCGUCGCUUUCAUUAUUAAUUUGAAAUAAGUCGUAACAUAGUAGAUUAACUGGAAGGUGAAUCUAGAAAGUC
RNAcentral lists this non-coding RNA (744 nucleotides) under Basilepta melanopus. The record is from RNAcentral. Lineage: Eukaryota; Metazoa; Arthropoda; Insecta; Coleoptera; Chrysomelidae.